AAAAUGCACACUUUACUAGGUAUUUCGGCAAAUUCGAGAUUGUUAAACACAAACGCUUGAUCAAUAACCUAUUUUUUUGUAACUGGCAAAAUGCCAGAAUUUCAACUGAUUACGCCUACUGUAAGAGAAAGCAAAUGGCGUAACCUUAUCCUAGGUCAAGAAUGUUUUCACAAAAAAAUAUUGUUGACUGAAUAAGAUAAAUUGUUAACAAUAGAACCGAAUUAUUGAAUCGUUAUAACAGAAUUUAAAAUAUCUAACUAAAGUAAGAAUUUCUAGACACUAGAGAGACUCUAGAGAGAAUCCACUUGACCUAAAACACCGAGAAAACGUGUUGGUUUGUUAAUGAAUGGUCAAUCAGGAUUUUUUUUUUUUUGGAUUAAAAAAACCAUGUGAUUUUUUUCUUUCAAAAAAACGAGAGUUUUUGUUUGCUGAAAUGAGAAAUAAUUAUUUUAUAACACAUCGAUUAAAUUCAAUUAUUGAUGGAAUUAACCUUAUUAAUCGUUGAUAAACGAAAAAUUUAUUCGAAAAUUUAUUAAAUAUAAAUUAAAGUAGAAUAUGACAAGGAAGAGAGAGAGCAAAGAAGAAAAGAAUAAACUAUUUAAGAAAAUAUAUAGAUAGAUACGUAUAUUACAUCGAUAUCUAAAGAGAAGAAAGACGGCGCGCUGCGACACGAUGGCAGUAACGUCGGAUGACCGCCAACAUUGACAAUCGCGCGCAACCAAUCGAUGGCCCACUGCCACUUUGCUUCUGCCUACAACCCGUCUUUCUUACUUUCUCUCUACCUCUCUUUUUAAUCCCCUUCUUUGACACACCCCAUUCUCUAUUUGUUCCUCCACUCUUCAACUCGAUUUACUUUAUGCUCCCUUUUCACAUUUUCGCUCCUAUUUUAUUACAAUUAUUUUGAUCAAAGACUAUUUUUUCUUCCUUUUUUCUUCCUCUUUCCACUUCAAGUUAGAUUUCCAAAGUACAGACGAUUAUUCUUACAAGGAAUAUUUUCUCUUCUAUUCCGAUCAUUCAUCGAGGUAAGCGUGUAAUCGUACUUUUCACAAAAUGAUAUGAUUUCCAUCGUUAUUCUUUGACUGCAACACAUUUCACAUACGAUGUUUUUGAAUACAUAUUCACUUAUCUUUUUUUUUUUUUCUUCCAUCAGUCUAUUUCUCCUUGUUGCCGAAAGUUUAUCUCUAUCCUCGCGAGUGUUUCCCCAGUGAUGUGCAACGUCAGUGGCCGCGUCGGCGUCGGCGUCGGCGUCAGGACAUCAGUGUCGGUGUCACUAGCGUCGGCGCUAUCAUAUCGGUGGUUGGUUAGUAGACGAACGAAGGCGGUCGAGUAACGUUGGGACACGUCGUGAUCAUUGAGAGUUCAAUCCGUCCACUCUCUUUAACCUUCGUUCACACUUGUUAAUAACGGUGGAAAGUUUGUAAAUCGUAUAUAUCAGAGAAAACUCUAAACUAUCCUUUUCUUUUUUUCUUUUUCAUAGAUCGCAUUGUCAUAUAACGACGCGUCUAGAAAAGUAACGAAUAAUUUGAUAUUUGUAACGCAAAACAAGAUUCUCAGUGUAUUCGAGCGCGAUAACAUGAACACAGGAUGAUCUGUCGAUAUUCGGGGACACUGUGGCCGUGUAUUGCUUGAAAAAAAAGGUGUGGCGGACGGAAAGAAGAAGGGAUUGAUAACCGAUUGGAAAAGGAAAUAUCGAAAAGUAUAUAUCCUGAGGGAGCAGAAUGAUCGAUCCGAGCUCGUCAGAGUCGGAAAGCGAGGAGGACCAGAGUUCUCAACACGUCGGAAGUGUCGGUGGCGGUAGUGGCGGAGGCAGCGGUGGAGCUCG
Molecule: long non-coding RNA, 1822 nt
Filed under: Apis dorsata (giant honeybee)
Lineage: Eukaryota; Metazoa; Arthropoda; Insecta; Hymenoptera; Apidae
Description: uncharacterized LOC116186746
Source: RNAcentral